CUAACGCGUUAAAUCGACCGCCUGGGGAGUACGGCCGCAAGGUUAAAACUCAAAUGAAUUGACGGGGGCCCGCACAGCGGUGGAGCAUGUGUUAAUUCGAUGCAACGCGAAGAACCUUACCUACUCUUGACAUCCAGAGAACUUUCCAGAGAUGGAUUGGUGCCUUCGGGAACUCUGAGACAGGUGCUGCAUGGCUGUCGUCAGCUCGUGUUGUGAAAUGUUGGGUUAAGUCCCGCAACGAGCGCAACCCUUAUCCUUUGUUGCCAGCGGUUCGGCCGGGAACUCAAAGGAGACUGCCAGUGAUAAACUGGAGGAAGGUGGGGAUGACGUCAAGUCAUCAUGGCCCUUACGAGUAGGGCUACACACGUGCUACAAUGGCAUAUACAAAGAGAAGCGACCUCGCGAGAGCAAGCGGACCUCAUAAAGUAUGUCGUAGUCCGGAUUGGAGUCUGCAACUCGACUCCAUGAAGUCGGAAUCGCUAGUAAUCGUAGAUCAGAAUGCUACGGUGAAUACGUUCCCGGGCCUUGUACACACCGCCCGUCACACCAUGGGAGUGGGUUGCAAAAGAAGUAGGUAGCUUAACCUUCGGGAGGGCGCUUACCACUUUGUGAUUCAUGACUGGGGUGAAGUCGUAACAAGGUAACCAAGGGCGAAUUCCAG
RNAcentral lists this ribosomal RNA (661 nucleotides) under uncultured Serratia sp. Its description in RNAcentral is "bacterial SSU rRNA". It matches the Rfam family "Bacterial small subunit ribosomal RNA", at positions 852 to 1516 of the family's 1533-position model. Lineage: Bacteria; Pseudomonadati; Pseudomonadota; Gammaproteobacteria; Enterobacterales; Yersiniaceae. The record is from RNAcentral.